RNAcentral lists this ribosomal RNA (1116 nucleotides) under Bacillus sp. NCCP-929. RNAcentral describes it as "bacterial SSU rRNA". It matches the Rfam family "Bacterial small subunit ribosomal RNA", at positions 112 to 1215 of the family's 1533-position model. The record is from RNAcentral. Lineage: Bacteria; Bacillati; Bacillota; Bacilli; Caryophanales; Bacillaceae.
AACACGUGGGUAACCUGCCUGUAAGACUGGGAUAACUCCGGGAAACCGGAGCUAAUACCGGAUAGUUCCUUGAACCGCAUGGUUCAAGGAUGAAAGACGGUUUCGGCUGUCACUUACAGAUGGACCCGCGGCGCAUUAGCUAGUUGGUGGGGUAAUGGCUCACCAAGGCGACGAUGCGUAGCCGACCUGAGAGGGUGAUCGGCCACACUGGGACUGAGACACGGCCCAGACUCCUACGGGAGGCAGCAGUAGGGAAUCUUCCGCAAUGGACGAAAGUCUGACGGAGCAACGCCGCGUGAGUGAUGAAGGUUUUCGGAUCGUAAAGCUCUGUUGUUAGGGAAGAACAAGUGCGAGAGUAACUGCUCGCACCUUGACGGUACCUAACCAGAAAGCCACGGCUAACUACGUGCCAGCAGCCGCGGUAAUACGUAGGUGGCAAGCGUUGUCCGGAAUUAUUGGGCGUAAAGGGCUCGCAGGCGGUUUCUUAAGUCUGAUGUGAAAGCCCCCGGCUCAACCGGGGAGGGUCAUUGGAAACUGGGAAACUUGAGUGCAGAAGAGGAGAGUGGAAUUCCACGUGUAGCGGUGAAAUGCGUAGAGAUGUGGAGGAACACCAGUGGCGAAGGCGACUCUCUGGUCUGUAACUGACGCUGAGGAGCGAAAGCGUGGGGAGCGAACAGGAUUAGAUACCCUGGUAGUCCACGCCGUAAACGAUGAGUGCUAAGUGUUAGGGGGUUUCCGCCCCUUAGUGCUGCAGCUAACGCAUUAAGCACUCCGCCUGGGGAGUACGGUCGCAAGACUGAAACUCAAAGGAAUUGACGGGGGCCCGCACAAGCGGUGGAGCAUGUGGUUUAAUUCGAAGCAACGCGAAGAACCUUACCAGGUCUUGACAUCCUCUGACAACCCUAGAGAUAGGGCUUUCCCUUCGGGGACAGAGUGACAGGUGGUGCAUGGUUGUCGUCAGCUCGUGUCGUGAGAUGUUGGGUUAAGUCCCGCAACGAGCGCAACCCUUGAUCUUAGUUGCCAGCAUUCAGUUGGGCACUCUAAGGUGACUGCCGGUGACAAACCGGAGGAAGGUGGGGAUGACGUCAAAUCAUCAUGCCCCUUAUGACCUGGGCU